This is a long non-coding RNA of Rhipicephalus microplus (southern cattle tick), 677 nucleotides long. NCBI's taxonomy places the organism in Eukaryota, Metazoa, Arthropoda, Arachnida, Ixodida, Ixodidae. The record is from RefSeq and is a predicted model, not a curated record.
CAUGCCUGCGGGUAAAGCUGCUGACGGACACUGAUCGGUCUGCAGCUAUCAUAACAGCAUGUGCAGCGCUCCACAACAUUGCCUGUUUGCGUAGGGACCCAUGUCCACUCUCCGAUGAAGCACACCCCGACGUUAAUUUACCCGACAACCCCAGCCAAGGAGAUCCCGACACUGUUGCUGGUGCACAAGUACGCAGCUGCUACAUCCGCCGGUGUUUUUCCUCUGGGAACGAACACACAGGUCCAGUGCAAACCUGAACAUCAAGGCGAGCCUCGAGUUCUACGUCGAGUGUGUGCUGCAACAGAGACAGCCUGCCUCCGCGGACAUUCCGCACACUUGACCCAGCUGUUGGGGCUUCACUUUGUGCACCUGGCUGAGCAGCUUCCUCUUGGCUCAUGUCCGCAUCGACUUUGGGAUCGUCCAAGCAUAAGCUAUCUUCACCAACCACGGAUGGUGUGUGAGAGCUCUGCAGCAUUGACUGCAUAGCUGCUCUGUCGGUUUGGCUGAGUUCUUCUGUUUGGUCUGCAAUAAAAGUUGUUUCAUCCAUGAAAGACAAGCGAAGAAAUGUGAGGAAGCACCUCAUGAAACAAAUACCAAUAUUAUUCACGGUCUUCGUUUACUAGAUGUUUGUAUACUUUGAAAUGACAAUAAACACCAUUACCUGCAUGCACUGACAA